RNAcentral lists this ribosomal RNA (1357 nucleotides) under Stenamma diecki. RNAcentral's name for it is "16S ribosomal RNA". Lineage: Eukaryota; Metazoa; Arthropoda; Insecta; Hymenoptera; Formicidae. The record is from RNAcentral.
AAUUAAAAAUUUAUUUUAUUUAUUGUUUCAUUGUGAGUUAAUUAAAGCUAUAAUAAUUUAAAAUAUGUUUUAUUAAUUAAAUUAAAUUAAUUAUAUUAAAUUAUAGAGGAAAGUAAUGUGAGUGAGUAGGGUAAAAUUAAGAAAAGGAAAUUUAAUUUAUUGUACCUUUUGUUUCAGGGGUUAUUAAAUUAUAUUUUUAAUAGGUAAAAAUUCUCGAAUUUAAAAGAGCUAAUAAAGUAUGAUGGUUAAUGUUAAAUAAUUAUCAUUAAUAAAUUAUUAGGGAAGAAAUUUUAGUCGUUUUUAAAGAUAUCUAGUUUUUUUUAAUUAAAUUUAAUUUAAAUAAAAUAAUUAAAAAUAAUUUAUAUUAAUAUAAUUAUUUUUAUGUUUUAUAAAUAAUUUAUGGGAUAAACUAUAAAUUUUAUUAAAAUAUUUAAAUUUAUAAAGAUUUUAGGAAUAUUUAUGAAAUUUGAAAUUUAUAAAAAAAAUUUAAUAAUUUAUAAGCUUAAUUUAUAAUUAGAGAUUUUAUAAUUAUAAAAAUUUAAUAAAUAAAAGAAAUAUUAAUUAAAAUAAGUUUUAAUUAAUUAAUAAUGAUAACAUUAGUAUAAAAUAUUUUAAAUAAAAAUAAGAAUGAAGAGGUAAAUAUUGAUUUAAGGAACUCGGCAAAUUUACUAAGUUUCAACUGUUUAAUAAAAACAUAGCUUUUUGAUAAUAAUUUAAAGUUGCUUCUGCCCCCUGAGUAUUUUAAAUGGCCGCAGUAUUUUGACUGUGCUAAGGUAGCAUAAUCAAUUGUUUUUUAAAUGAAAACGUGUAUGAAAGAAUGAAUGAGAACUAGGCUGUCUUAGAUUAAAAGUUUAGAAUUUAUUUUUUAAGUAAAAAUUCUUAAAUAUUGAUAUGGGACGAGAAGACCCUAUAGAAUUUGAAAUAAUUUUUUUAAAUUUAUUGUUAAUUAUAAUUUAAGAAUUGUAUUUUUAGUUGGGAGGAUGGUUAAAUUAUAAAAACUUUAAUUAAGAUUUAUUACUUUUAAGUAAUUUAAAGAAUGAUAAGUAUAUUAAGAAAGAAUUAAUUACCUUAGGGAUAACAGCGUAAUAUUUUUGGAAAGAUCUUAUUAAUAAAAAUGAUUGCGACCUCGAUGUUGAAUUAAGAUAAAAAUUAAAUGGAGAAGUUUAAUAUUUAAGUCUGUUCGACUUUUAAAAUCUUACAUGAUUUGAGUUUAGACCGGUGUGAGCCAGGUCGGUUUCUAUCUAUAAUAAGCUUAAAAAUAUUUGUACGAAAGGACUUUAUUUUUAUAAUAAUUAUUUAAAAAUUUUAAUAAAUUAAGAUUAAUAUGAAGGUAAUUACUUUGGCAGAGUAGUGCAUU